UUAAAAAACCUUAUUUCACUGACUGCUGCCAAAUAUUUUUUCUUGCCCUUCCUCCUUUUAAAAAUAUAUGGUUUAAAGACUCGCCAUGAGAUUAAACGACUGGUUAAGAGGGAUGUAAGUUUUUUAUUUUUUAUUUUUUUUAUUUUUUCCCAUUGCAGUGCCCAGCUCUGGCAUGCGCUGCUGCUCCUCCUGACUGCCAGACGAGCGCUCGGAGGGGUGUUAAGGGACGAGCUUAUGGAUCGAUGUCUCACUCUGCUCAGCCCAGCUGUAGCUGUUGUUGCUCACACAGAGAGGCUUUGUCUGGGCUCUGCGAAAAACACACCGAUAACAACUGUUUACCGUCUGCCGCCUCGGGCCUGAGCCGGGCCUCGGCACUCGCGGCACAUCGGGGCAUCCGCCGGUGUCUGUGGGUGUCGGAGGUUACAAUAAGGGAACCUGGACACGCUCGGACUGAGAUCACACAACAGGGGCGGUACACGAGAUGAGCCGCGCGGAGGCAGGUUGUUAUCCGCAACAAAGACCCAAAAUGAGCUGAAUUCGCCAGGAAUGCCAUCUGGACUCC
Molecule: long non-coding RNA, 562 nt
Filed under: Scophthalmus maximus (turbot)
Lineage: Eukaryota; Metazoa; Chordata; Actinopteri; Pleuronectiformes; Scophthalmidae
Description: lncRNA (ENSSMAG00000034847.1)
Source: RNAcentral